UACAGAGGUCCCGAGCGUUGUUCGGAUUCACUGGGCGUAAAGGGUGCGCAGGUGGCAUGGCAAGUUUGGUGUGAAAGCUUCGGGCUUAACCCGGAAAUGGCAUUGAAAACUGCUGUGCUGGAGGAUCGGAGGGGGGACUGGAAUUCUUGGUGUAGCAGUGAAAUGCGUAGAUAUCAAGAGGAACACCAGUGGCGAAGGCGAGUCCCUGGACGAUACCUGACACUGAGGCACGAAAGCCAAGGGAGCAAACAGGAUUAGAAACCCCCGUAGUCC
RNAcentral lists this ribosomal RNA (273 nucleotides) under uncultured bacterium. RNAcentral's name for it is "partial 16S ribosomal RNA". It matches the Rfam family "Bacterial small subunit ribosomal RNA", at positions 524 to 796 of the family's 1533-position model. The record is from RNAcentral.